Molecule: long non-coding RNA, 964 nt
Filed under: Equus asinus (donkey)
Lineage: Eukaryota; Metazoa; Chordata; Mammalia; Perissodactyla; Equidae
Description: lncRNA (ENSEASG00005036228.1)
Source: RNAcentral
GCCAGUUUUAACUUACUGACUUUCCAACCCGCUCCAUCCUUGUUGGCACCUACAAGAGAAAUGCUAUCACACAUCUGCAUCAGACAAUGAGUAUGUUUCCUGGAUAUUUUGAGGACAACUUUCCAGAUUUGCAAAAUACAGUCAACUGACCCACAGAAACUCUUGAUGCCUCCUCACCAGUCCCCUGAGUUCCUUCCCUGGUUGCACACUCAAUGAGAGAAGCCACAUCAUGGAGGACUCUGCUCAAAUGGCAAGAGGAGAAGGUGGUGCAAGAUCAGUCUGCUGAGACCUCCAUCUUUGCUGAGCUGGGUGGCAUUCCUGCCAGAACAAUGUGCUGUGACAAGUCACUGGAAUUGUCUUGUGCUUUUGGCAAAUCCAUAAGAAGAAAAGUGAACUCAAGAGUGACAUAGAGGAAAUAAUUCAAAUACCAAGAUCUAAAUCUGAUUUCUUAACAUCCAGGCCUCAAAGGGAUGCAUCAUGAGUCAUUAAGAAAAGCUUGUAUAUGGGGCCAACCCAGUGGCAUAGCGGUUUAGUGCCCUCGUUCCACUUCGGCGGCCCGGGGUUCACUGGUUCAGAUCCCGGGUGCAGACAUGGCACUCCUUGGCAAGCCAUGCUGUGGUCUACCAAGGAGUUGCAGCUCAGAUGAUCUCACCUGGGAUUGGCUGGAUUAGGCUGGAUUUCAGGUAGUUCAGACUACUAGUCUUUUGUUGCAUCUGGAUUUUGAGUUGUAUUUAGAAAGCAUCUCCUCCCACCUACGUCAUAGAGAAAGUCACCCAUAUUUUCUCCUAACACAGGUGGGUUUCAUUCUUGAUCCAUCCUAUUGGAGUUUAUUCUUGUAUAUGGCUUUCCAGUGGUCCUCAAAAUAUUUAUUAAAAAGUCUAUUUUUGUCCCAGUAAUUGGAGAUUCCACGUACUAAGUUUCCACAUAUAUUUGGGUCUAUUCCUCGACUUUCUAUCCUAUUCCA